ACUUAAAUAGUUUAAUUUAAAAUUUUAAUUUGUGGUUUUAAAGAUGUAAGUACUUACUUUAGGUU
RNAcentral lists this transfer RNA (65 nucleotides) under Zhengitettix curvispinus. RNAcentral describes it as "tRNA-His". The record is from RNAcentral. Lineage: Eukaryota; Metazoa; Arthropoda; Insecta; Orthoptera; Tetrigidae.